CCAGCAGCCGCGGUAAUACGUAGGGGGCAAGCGUUAUCCGGAAUUACUGGGUGUAAAGGGAGCGUAGACGGUGAUGUAAGUCUGGAGUGAAAGGCGGGGGUCCAACCCCCGGACUGCUCUGGAAACUAUGUGACUGGAGUACGGGAGGGGCAGGCGGAAUUCCUGGUGUAGCGGUGAAAUGCGUAGAUAUCAGGAGGAACACCGGCGGCGAAGGCGGCCUGCUGGACCGUGACUGACGUUGAGGCUCGAGAGCGUGGGGAGCAAACAG
This 268-nucleotide ribosomal RNA is filed under the name uncultured bacterium. Its description in RNAcentral is "partial 16S ribosomal RNA". It matches the Rfam family "Bacterial small subunit ribosomal RNA", at positions 508 to 775 of the family's 1533-position model. The record is from RNAcentral.